This 414-nucleotide unclassified non-coding RNA is filed under the name Hevea brasiliensis (rubber tree). The record is from RNAcentral. Lineage: Eukaryota; Viridiplantae; Streptophyta; Magnoliopsida; Malpighiales; Euphorbiaceae.
UUGAGAUUUUUUGAUGCCCCCUGAAACAGUAUGGACAUAGAAAUUGAAGUUCAAGAAUGUAGAGGCCUAUCCCAGAAAUCAAGAUAAUGUAUAUCUACAAGCAGAGUAGCAUAAACUUGCAGAUGAAGAUGGAAACACAAAAUAAAUGAAUCUGAAUUUGGCUUCCUAAGCAAUUUUAUAGCCAAUAAAAUCCUCAAUCUAAACAAACAAUGCAGCAAUGCAAUAAAUGGUUUUGAUAUAGAUAAAAAAUAGAGCAAUCCAAGAUAAAUCAAUAUACUCAAAUUCACAAAGGCAGAUUUUUGGGCCUUUGGCUACAUACAAUAUUACUGAACUAAAACUAACUUCUCACAACAAUGGGUACAGUAUCUGCAUGUACUAUAAACAAGCAUCAUAAUGGAAAGAAAUGAAAUCGUG